UAAGCAAUUAUACAGCGAAACUGCGAAUGGCUCAUUAUAUAAGUUAUCGUUUAUUUGAUAGUACCUUACUACUUGGAUAACCGUGGUAAUUCUAGAGCUAAUACAUGCUAAAAAUCCCGACUUCGGAAGGGAUGUAUUUAUUAGAUUAAAAACCAAUGCCCUCUGGGCUCCUUGGUGAUUCAUAAUAACUUUUCGAAUCGCAUGGCCUUGCGCCGGCGAUGGUUCAUUCAAAUUUCUUCCCUAUCAACUUUCGAUGUUUGGGUAUUGGCCAAACAUGGUCGCAACGGGUAACGGAGGGUUAGGGCUCGACCCCGGAGAAGGAGCCUGAGAAACGGCUACUACAUCCAAGGAAGGCAGCAGGCGCGCAAAUUACCCAAUCCCGAUUCGGGGAGGUAGUGACAAUAAAUACUGAUACAGGGCUCUUUUGGGUCUUGUAAUUGGAAUGAGUACAAUUUAAAUCCCUUAACGAGGAACAAUUGGAGGGCAAGUCUGGUGCCAGCAGCCGCGGUAAUUCCAGCUCCAAUAGCGUAUAUUAAAGUUGUUGUGGUUAAAAAGCUCGUAGUUGAACCUUGGGCCUGGCUGGCCGGUCCGCCUCACCGCGUGUACUGGUCCGGCCGGGCCUUUCCCUCUGUGGAACCUCAUGCCCUUCACUGGGUGUGGCGGGGAAACAGGACUUUUACUUUGAAAAAAUUAGAGUGCUCCAGGCAGGCCUAUGCUCGAAUACAUUAGCAUGGAAUAAUGAAAUAGGACGUGUGGUUCUAUUUUGUUGGUUUCUAGGACCGCCGUAAUGAUUAAUAGGGACAGUCGGGGGCAUCAGUAUUCAAUUGUCAGAGGUGAAAUUCUUGGAUUUAUUGAAGACUAACUACUGCGAAAGCAUUUGCCAAGGAUGUUUUCAUUAAUCAGGAACGAAAGUUAGGGGAUCGAAGACGAUCAGAUACCGUCGUAGUCUUAACCAUAAACUAUGCCGACUAGGGAUCGGACGAUGUUAUUUUUUGACGCGUUCGGCA
Molecule: ribosomal RNA, 1007 nt
Filed under: Akanthomyces attenuatus
Lineage: Eukaryota; Fungi; Ascomycota; Sordariomycetes; Hypocreales; Cordycipitaceae
Description: SSU rRNA
Rfam family: Eukaryotic small subunit ribosomal RNA
Source: RNAcentral